GACGAACGCUGGCGGCGUGCUUAACACAUGCAAGUCGAGCGGUAAGGCCCUUUCGGGGGUACACGAGCGGCGAACGGGUGAGUAACACGUGGGUGACCUGCCCUCAGCUCUGGGAUAAGCCUGGGAAACUGGGUCUAAUACUGGAUAUGACUCCACGGUGCAUGUCGUGGGGUGAAAGCCUUGUGCGGCUGAGGAUGGGCCCGCGGCCUAUCAGCUUGUUGGUGGGGUGANGGCCUACCAAGGCGACGACGGUAGCCGGCCUGAGAGGCGACCGGCCACACUGGGACUGAGACACGGCCCAGACUCCUACGGGAGGCAGGCAGUGGGGAAUCUUGCGCAAUGGGCGAAAGCCUGACGCAGCGACGCCGCGUGA
RNAcentral lists this ribosomal RNA (373 nucleotides) under uncultured bacterium. RNAcentral's name for it is "bacterial SSU rRNA". It matches the Rfam family "Bacterial small subunit ribosomal RNA", at positions 28 to 404 of the family's 1533-position model. The record is from RNAcentral.